RNAcentral lists this long non-coding RNA (403 nucleotides) under Fukomys damarensis (Damara mole-rat). Its description in RNAcentral is "lncRNA (ENSFDAG00000030417.1)". Lineage: Eukaryota; Metazoa; Chordata; Mammalia; Rodentia; Bathyergidae. The record is from RNAcentral.
AAUCAACAGUCAGUGUGCAUGUUAGACCCACCAUGCUUAAAAUUCUUCCCAUCGCUUCCUGCCUCUUUUGCUCAGGGCCCUACCACUCAGCUAAGGACUAAAACAUACUCAUGUCAGUGAGAGACCACCAUAACAGAGCUGUGUGGGGACUCAAAGGAGUACCCAGCCAAGGGUCCCAGAUUCAAGUUCCUCAAGAGAUGGGAGUACCUCCCAGAAGUUAAUUCCAUAGUGUCCUUGCCCUUCCUCUGUGCCGAGGCAGAUGCAGGCUGAUCCCUACAAGAAGGAAAGCUGGGCUCCUGGAGGCUGCCACCUUGUUGACUCUACUCCACGCAGUGAUCCCACUUCAUUCCAGAAGAGCGGUAAAUCCUUCUAUUUCCUGGUCUCAGGAGGAGUGGAAAGCUAG